CGUAGGUGGUUCGUUAAGUUGGAUGUGAAAUCCCCGGGCUCAACCUGGGAACUGCAUUCAAAACUGUCGAGCUAGAGUAUGGUAGAGGGUGGUGGAAUUUCCUGUGUAGCGGUGAAAUGCGUAGAUAUAGGAAGGAACACCAGUGGCGAAGGCGACCACCCGGACUGAUACUGACACUGAGGUGCGAAAGCGUGGGGAGCAAACA
RNAcentral lists this ribosomal RNA (205 nucleotides) under uncultured bacterium. RNAcentral's name for it is "partial 16S ribosomal RNA". It matches the Rfam family "Bacterial small subunit ribosomal RNA", at positions 570 to 774 of the family's 1533-position model. The record is from RNAcentral.